GUCCUUCCCAACCCGCCCGCGAAUCCCUAUAUUCGUCAGUGCCGGAGCAAUCCGGAUAUGGCGAUAAACUGCCAUCGUAAUAAACCCUGCGGACCCGGGGGCAGUACCCGGCGCCUCCACCAGAACCCGUUCAAGGACCGCGAGCGGUUUCCGGCGGGGGCGAAAUAGGAUCGACGAGGGCGUAAAGGGUGAGCUUUUGCCCGGCAUGGUACCCGCCGUUAUCGGGCCAAAUUGUAGUUGCAAACGACAACUAUGCAGAGGCACGCCUCGCUGCGUAAUGCAGUGAUGUAUCCUCAUCUGAAGCCCUUGCGGUUUGCACCGUAAGGCGGGGUUCGGAGGCACCUGGCAACAGAAGCCUCCACU
Molecule: transfer-messenger RNA, 363 nt
Filed under: Bauldia litoralis
Lineage: Bacteria; Pseudomonadati; Pseudomonadota; Alphaproteobacteria; Hyphomicrobiales; Kaistiaceae
Description: Prosthecomicrobium litoralum Alphaproteobacteria transfer-messenger RNA
Rfam family: Alphaproteobacteria transfer-messenger RNA
About the family: Bacterial tmRNA, also known as 10Sa RNA or SsrA, is named for its dual tRNA and mRNA-like properties. Its role is to liberate the mRNA from a stalled ribosome. To accomplish this part of the tmRNA is used as a reading frame that ends in a translation stop signal.
Source: Rfam by way of RNAcentral